GCAAUCGUGGCCGAGUGGUUAAGGCGAUGGACUAGAAGUCCAUUGGGGUCUCUCCGCACAAGUCGACGAAUCCUGUCGACUGCG
Ixodes scapularis (black-legged tick) is the source of this 84-nucleotide non-coding RNA. Lineage: Eukaryota; Metazoa; Arthropoda; Arachnida; Ixodida; Ixodidae. The record is from Rfam.